This is a long non-coding RNA of Cyanistes caeruleus (blue tit), 2224 nucleotides long. RefSeq lists it as uncharacterized. The record is from RefSeq and is a predicted model, not a curated record. NCBI's taxonomy places the organism in Eukaryota, Metazoa, Chordata, Aves, Passeriformes, Paridae.
GGCUGGGUAUGAAGAAAGGGUUUAAUGUGAAAAAAAAAAUCUUAUUGAUACAAACAGAGUGAGAUGGAUGUGUAUAUAAUAUAUGUAUAUAUGUAUUAUAUUCUAGAUUUCAAAGCUUUUUUCUUUUUAGAGGCCAACAGGACCAUGCUCAUCCCAGCAUGGCAGUCCCCCAGGAGACCUCCCUGUCACAGUGUCUGGUAUAGUCCCAGUCCUGGGGCUUCCCAGUGGAUAUUUUCAUGGGAAGAGCUUGCCCAGAUCCAGUGACAGCUCAAGUGUAGCCUGAUUGUUAUUCACCAGCUCCUGCACACCUGGACCUACACCCUACAGCUUCACAUGUCUGACCAACACAGAGAGAAAAAUUCCCUUGUCCCCUGUCCCUCAAGGUAAUGUCCCUUGACACUGAAUGCUUUCAAUUCAGGUGACAGCUCUGCCUCUGGGGUCUCCAUGUUCCCUGCUCUCCAUGACAAGACAUUCAGGUGAUGCUUUAGUCUUCAAUCCUACACUGUAAUUGCUUCCUUUUCACUGCAAGCUUCAUGGAGAAUGAAACUGUGUGUGUUUCAGUGAGAUCUGUAUGACAUUUCAACAUUUCACCGACUUUUUGCUUCAGACUUUAAGUAGGUUUUGAGAACAGUUACCAGGUUUUUUGUAAGGAGCAAGGGGAAAAAUAAAUAAUGAGAACAAAAAUAGUCAAACAACAGGCUGAAUAAUUGACAGAAAGCAAAAGGACUGGGAUUUGAUGCUAUUCAGUUGAGAAGAACUCAUUGAUAUCCACUGAAUUAAACAAGAACCUCCUGCUGCAUUGCUUAUGUUAUGGUUACCAUGAUUCAAACACCAGAAGUCAUAAUGGAUUUUAUUUCUGUUUCUAUUUAUGUCCCACGGACCCAAUGACUCCUCCUUCUUGCUUGGUUUUGUUUUGGUUAUUUUUCAUUGUUGUUGCAGUUUAGCUUUUUCUUCCUCAGGACUAAGGCCUGAGAGCAGACCCUCUCUUUAUGGCAUCACAGAAGGGUUGGCGUUGACAGAGAUUUCUAGAGACCACCCAGUGCCACCCCCCUGCAAGAGCAGGGUCACUGGAGAAGGUCACACAGGGUCUCAUUUAGGUGCCUGUGGAAUAUCUCCAGAGCAGGAGACUCCAGAACCUCCCUGGGAAGACUGUUCCAGUGCUUCAUCACCCUCAGAAGAUAUUGCAGGAGUCUGUCCCCAUGGAGGGCAGUGCUGGAACAAGAUCUUAAAGGUCUCUCCCAACACAAACUGCUCUAGGAUUCUAGGAGUCUUGAAAAACAUGGAGCAUUUGCAAAAACCAGGAAGUGAAUAAAAGCAUUUGACAUUCAAACAAAAACUCCUGUAUGUUCUGGCUCCCAUGCCAAAGGGUUGGUUGCCCUGGGGAGGGGCCUCAGGGCAGUCCCCCUCCAGGGCUGCCUGCACUGCUGGCAGUCACUCAGGCUGGGGAUGUCUUCAUGCAUUUUGGGGCUUGAUGGCUCUGCUUUGGGGCUCAGUGACACUUCUGCACCUCUUGGCUGCCAUUUCCUGGGGCCCUCUGCACUCUCCUCCCACUCCAUGCAGACUCAAACAGGUUGUGGAUGAAAUUGUUAUAAUGGAAAAGCAGAACACUGAACAACAUCUUCUACAUCUUCAUCUACAGCUACAUCUUCAUCUACAUCUUCAUCUACAGCAUCAAAACCAGCCUUCCUCCAUCCCCAAACAAUGUGAGCCCUCAAAAGGCCUAAUCCUCUAUUUCUGCUCCAGCUCUGCCUGUGGGAGCCCUGUGCUUGCUGUCAGCCCUGGGCAGAGAGCUCUUCCUCUUCUUCCCUCACCUCUCCCGCCUGAUGCCAUGUGUGGACACGCUGCCCUGGGGUGGUGGCAGCUCUGUCCCUGCAGGCUGCUGUGGCUGCUGAUGUUUCCUGCCAGUGGUCCUGCCAUGCUCUGUGCUCAGGAUGACUUUGGAGCUCUGUUCAGCCAGGGGCACCUUCCCAGGCAGCCAGAGCUGGGUGCUUUUGUGCAAGGGCUGCUGCCCCUGGUGCCUGCAGUGUCCAUGGCAAUGGGGACACUUCUGGGAUCCCCCAGGGCACAGGUGGCCCCCAGGGCCUGGCACAGGAGCUCUCAAAGGUCUGCCCUGGGCAGAUGUGGCCACCCAGGGGUGCUGGCCAUGUCCUGCUGAGCCCACGGGCCACAGCUGGCACGGGGGCACUGGGGGGGCUUGGCUGAUCCUGUGGGAGGUCACAGCCCA